AAAAAGAGGGUGGGGCUUCUGUCGUGAGCGACACACAGAGGGCAGUUCGUUUGCUCUACCUGUGGAAUCGACAUCGAGAGAUUUCGGAAGCAUAAUUUUUGUUGAUUGGGCAGCUGGUAAUUGUUGGUCCCAGCACCCAC
This is a small nuclear RNA of Erinaceus europaeus (western European hedgehog), 140 nucleotides long. Lineage: Eukaryota; Metazoa; Chordata; Mammalia; Eulipotyphla; Erinaceidae. The record is from Ensembl.